This 283-nucleotide long non-coding RNA is filed under the name Mytilus galloprovincialis (Mediterranean mussel). The record is from RNAcentral. Lineage: Eukaryota; Metazoa; Mollusca; Bivalvia; Mytilida; Mytilidae.
UUCUGUUUCAGCACCCCAUAUUUACUGUGCUGCUUUUUUAUAUCUUUUUUUCUAUAUUAUUUAUUUUUUUCUUAUCAUGACCUUCAUGUAUUACCCAAUAUAUUAUUCCUUUUCUGUAAACCCCCUUCCAGAUCAUUGUGUACAUACAAAUACUUGAGUCAUUCUAAUGAAACUAAGAUAUAAGCUUACAAUGAUAUUUUAUUAUUAUUUCUUGGAGUUGUGAAUGCUCCCUUGACAGCAGAUGUAAAAAUUGGCAGUCUAGCUUCAAUUUCAUUUAUUGCAG